GAUAAUUUAUAUUGGAAAAGUCAAAUCAAUGGUCUAGAUCUAGAAUGUUAGUUAUCAAAUAAGUAGGUAUACUAUGGACGUUGUAUGAUAGUAAUAUUAUAUAAUAAAUUCAAAGUGCUGCAGAGAAAUUUCAUUACUUAAAACUCAAAAACAAACCGUAAAAAAAAUCAAUUCCAUUACGAAAACAAUACCAUUACAAAGUUAUAAACGUUCAAGCAAGAUCCUAUACAUUAUUAUGUAUUAUACAUAAAUAGGUUUUAGCUAUGAGCAUUUCUAAAUCGAAAAAUAAGUAAAUUAAAAUUAUCUACUUAUACUAUACCCGAAAUAAUGCGUUAACGACCAACGUAAGUAGGUACAAUGUAAUAAUUUCGAGGAAAUGACCGACAUAAUAACAGAGUAACAGACUUGGGUAGUAUUCUGAAUAUUUUUUUUUUAAGUAUUCAAUACGGUAUUUUGAAUACUUCUUACAGGUAUUUUGAAUACAGUAUUCGAAAUACUUUUUUAACGUCCAAUCACACUUAAAAAAUAAUUGUACUACUUUUUUCGUUAUUGAAGCUUUUGCACUUGUAUAUAACUAUAUAAAUAAAACGAGAUUAUUAUAAUAUUCAUUUAUAAACAAUGAAUUGAAAAAAAAAUAUGUUUUUGUCAUUGAAAUCUAAAUCUACUAAAAAAAGUAUUCGAAAAAUAUUAUUAUAAAGUAUUUGGAAUAUGUAUUCAAAAUACUUUUAAAAUGUAUUUUACCCAAGUCUGUAUUUAAUUAAUAUAGGCAUACAUUCGGUUUUGCAGUCAUUAGUCACUCAACACCAACUCCAUUUUUAUUUGCUUAUGCAUAAACUCUAUAAUUUUUUCUAAAAAUUAUUUUAAAGUAGUUAUCGGAUAAAAUAAUAACAAAAUCGUUUACAGCGUUUUCCCUCAUUGACUCAGUAUUAAGGCUGACCAUUCAUGGCAAUUGAGGAAUAUG
Molecule: long non-coding RNA, 961 nt
Organism: Aphis gossypii (cotton aphid)
Lineage: Eukaryota; Metazoa; Arthropoda; Insecta; Hemiptera; Aphididae
Exons: 3
Source: RefSeq, a predicted model, not a curated record